UGUGAGCUCGAUGAGUAGGGCGGGACACGUGGUAUCCUGUCUGAAUAUGGGGGGACCAUCCUCCAAGGCUAAAUACUCCUGACUGACCGAUAGUGAACCAGUACCGUGAGGGAAAGGCGAAAAGAACCCCGGCGAGGGGAGUGAAAAAGAACCUGAAACCGUGUACGUACAAGCAGUGGGAGCACGCUUAGGCGUGUGACUGCGUACCUUUUGUAUAAUGGGUCAGCGACUUAUAUUCUGUAGCAAGGUUAACCGAAUAGGGGAGCCGAAGGGAAACCGAGUCUUAACUGGGCGUUAAGUUGCAGGGUAUAGACCCGAAACCCGGUGAUCUAGCCAUGGGCAGGUUGAAGGUUGGGUAACACUAACUGGAGGACCGAACCGACUAAUGUUGAAAAAUUAGCGGAUGACUUGUGGCUGGGGGUGAAAGGCCAAUCAAACCGGGAGAUAGCUGGUUCUCCCCGAAAGCUAUUUAGGUAGCGCCUCGUGAAUUCAUCUCCGGGGGUAGAGCACUGUUUCGGCAAGGGGGUCAUCCCGACUUACCAACCCGAUGCAAACUGCGAAUACCGGAGAAUGUUAUCACGGGAGACACACGGCGGGUGCUAACGUCCGUCGUGAAGAGGGAAACAACCCAGACCGCCAGCUAAGGUCCCAAAGUCAUGGUUAAGUGGGAAACGAUGUGGGAAGGCCCAGACAGCCAGGAUGUUGGCUUAGAAGCAGCCAUCAUUUAAAGAAAGCGUAAUAGCUCACUGGUCGAGUCGGCCUGCGCGGAAGAUGUAACGGGGCUAAACCAUGCACCGAAGCUGCGGCAGCGACGCUUAUGCGUUGUUGGGUAGGGGAGCGUUCUGUAAGCCUGUGAAGGUGUGCUGUGAGGCAUGCUGGAGGUAUCAGAAGUGCGAAUGCUGACAUAAGUAACGAUAAAGCGGGUGAAAAGCCCGCUCGCCGGAAGACCAAGGGUUCCUGUCCAACGUUAAUCGGGGCAGGGUGAGUCGACCCCUAAGGCGAGGCCGAAAGGCGUAGUCGAUGGGAAACAGGUUAAUAUUCCUGUACUUGGUGUUACUGCGAAGGGGGGACGGAGAAGGCUAUGUUGGCCGGGCGACGGUUGUCCCGGUUUAAGCGUGUAGGCUGGUUUUCCAGGCAAAUCCGGAAAAUCAAGGCUGAGGCGUGAUGACGAGGCACUACGGUGCUGAAGCAACAAAUGCCCUGCUUCCAGGAAAAGCCUCUAAGCAUCAGGUAACAUCAAAUCGUACCCCAAACCGACACAGGUGGUCAGGUAGAGAAUACCAAGGCGCUUGAGAGAACUCGGGUGAAGGAACUAGGCAAAAUGGUGCCGUAACUUCGGGAGAAGGCACGCUGAUACGUAGGUGAAGUCCCUCGCGGAUGGAGCUGAAAUCAGUCGAAGAUACCAGCUGGCUGCAACUGUUUAUUAAAAACACAGCACUGUGCAAACACGAAAGUGGACGUAUACGGUGUGACGCCUGCCCGGUGCCGGAAGGUUAAUUGAUGGGGU
RNAcentral lists this ribosomal RNA (1507 nucleotides) under Escherichia coli. RNAcentral describes it as "partial 23S ribosomal RNA". It matches the Rfam family "Bacterial large subunit ribosomal RNA", at positions 398 to 1890 of the family's 2925-position model. Lineage: Bacteria; Pseudomonadati; Pseudomonadota; Gammaproteobacteria; Enterobacterales; Enterobacteriaceae. The record is from RNAcentral.